RNAcentral lists this ribosomal RNA (888 nucleotides) under uncultured bacterium. Its description in RNAcentral is "bacterial SSU rRNA". It matches the Rfam family "Bacterial small subunit ribosomal RNA", at positions 10 to 928 of the family's 1533-position model. The record is from RNAcentral.
AGUUGUAUCCUGGCUCNNGAUAAAACGCUAGCGGUAUGCCUAACACAUGCAAGUCGUACGAGGGUUUCAUACCCAAGUGGCGGACGGGUGAGUAACACGUGAGAAUUUGCCCUAAGGAGGGGGAUAACAACUGGAAACGGUUGCUAAAACCCCAUAUGCUUCCGAGUGAAAUAGAUUUAUCUGCCUUAGGAGAAGCUCGCGGCUGAUUAGCUAGUUGGUAAGGUAAUGGCUUACCAAGGCGACGAUCAGUAUCUGGUUUGAGAGGACGAUCAGACACACUGGAACUGAGACACGGUCCAGACUCCUACGGGAGGCAGCAGUGGGGAAUUUUCCGCAAUGGGCGAAAGCCUGACGGAGCAAUACCGCGUGAAGGAAGACGGCCUAUGGGUUGUAAACUUCUUUUUUCAGGGAGGAACUCAAUGACGUGUACCUGAAGAAUAAGCAUCGGCUAACUCCGUGCCAGCAGCCGCGGUAAGACGGAGGAUGCAAGUGUUAUCCGGAAUCACUGGGCGUAAAGCGUCUGUAGGUGGUUUAAUAAGUCGACUGUUAAAUCUUGAGGCUUAACCUCAAAAUCGCAUUCGAAACUAUUAGACUUGAGUAUAGUAGAGGUAAAGGGAAUUUCCAGUGGAGCGGUGAAAUGCGUAGAUAUUGGAAAGAACACCGAUGGCGAAGGCACUUUACUGGGCUAUUACUGACACUCAGAGACGAAAGCUAGGGUAGCAAAUGGGAUUAGAUACCCCCAGUAGUCCUAGCCCGUAAACAAUGGAUACUAGAUGUUGGACAGAUCGACCUGUGCAGUAUCAAAGCUAACGCGUUUANGUAUCCCGCCCUGGGAAGUAUGCUCCCCAAGAANUGAAACUNCAAAGGAAUUGACGGGGGCCCNCACAA